RNAcentral lists this ribosomal RNA (253 nucleotides) under uncultured bacterium. RNAcentral describes it as "partial 16S ribosomal RNA". It matches the Rfam family "Bacterial small subunit ribosomal RNA", at positions 524 to 776 of the family's 1533-position model. The record is from RNAcentral.
UACGUAGGGGGCAAGCGUUGUCCGGAAUCAUUGGGCGUAAAGCGCGCGUAGGCGGCCUGAUAAGUCCGGUGUGAAAGUCACAGGCUCAACCUGUGAAUGCCGCUGGAAACUGUCUGGCUUGAGUCCGGAAGGGGCGAGUGGAAUUCCUGGUGUAGCGGUGAAAUGCGCAGAUAUCAGGAGGAACACCAAUGGCGAAGGCAGCUCGCUGGAACGGUACUGACGCUGAGGCGCGAAAGCGUGGGGAGCGAACAGG